UGGGGAAUAUUGGACAAUGGGCGAAAGCCUGAUCCAGCCAUGCCGCGUGUGUGAAGAAGGUCUUCGGAUUGUAAAGCACUUUAAGUUGGGAGGAAGGGUUGUAGAUUAAUACUCUGCAAUUUUGACGUUACCGACAGAAUAAGCACCGGCUAACUCUGUGCCAGCAGCCGCGGUAAUACAGAGGGUGCAAGCGUUAAUCGGAAUUACUGGGCGUAAAGCGCGCGUAGGUGGUUUGUUAAGUUGGAUGUGAAAUCCCCGGGCUCAACCUGGGAACUGCAUCCAAAACUGGCAAGCUAGAGUAUGGUAGAGGGUGGUGGAAUUUCCUGUGUAGCGGUGAAAUGCGUAGAUAUAGGAAGGAACACCAGUGGCGAAGGCGACCACCUGGACUGAUACUGACACUGAGGUGCGAAAGCUAGGGUAGCGAAGAGGAUUAGAUACCCAAGUAGUCCCUGAGCGGGCUGGCAAGGCGCAU
This 472-nucleotide ribosomal RNA is filed under the name uncultured bacterium. RNAcentral's name for it is "bacterial SSU rRNA". It matches the Rfam family "Bacterial small subunit ribosomal RNA", at positions 355 to 825 of the family's 1533-position model. The record is from RNAcentral.